GACAGAGGUGCCGAGCGUUAGGCGGAAUCACUGGGCUUAAAGCGUGUGUAGGCGGGCCGUUAAGUAUCUUGUGAAAUCCCCCGGCUCAACCGGGGAAUGGCUGGAUAUACUGGCGGUCUUGAGCAGUCUAGGGGCAGAUGGAACAGACGGUGGAGCGGUGAAAUGCGUAGAUAUCGUCUGGAACGCCAAAGGUGAAGACAGUCUGCUGGGGACUUGCUGACGCUGAGACACGAAAGCCAGGGGAGCGAACGGG
Molecule: ribosomal RNA, 253 nt
Filed under: uncultured bacterium
Lineage: Bacteria
Description: partial 16S ribosomal RNA
Rfam family: Bacterial small subunit ribosomal RNA
Source: RNAcentral